GGAUACUGGUGUCAGUUGUGCCACACGCAGGAUCCACUACAAAUAUUUGGCUGGAUGGAAGAUGAAGAAACCCUUCCUUCUGAUUGGUGUAUUUCAGUUGUGGGCUUUCUUCAACCAAAACCACAUGGCUUGAUGGCCUGAGGGGUCUUGUGAGGAGACUGUCAGCAAGAUUGUUCCUUAUGAUGUACUCUUUGUACCGACCCUUCAAGGAACUAUACAAAGCUUGAAUGAAGUGAGCUGGCCUGAGGUGUUUUUUCUUGCACAGAAUUGAAGUUUUCACAAUGCCAAACCACUUUUCAACAUGACAGUUCGUGUCUCUUUUUUUCUGAUAUUCUUGGGUGGGUGAGUGGACCAUGUCACAGCCAUAUCUCUGUAGGUCUCCCAGCAGAACCCCGCUCCAGAGUGGAUAAAUGGCCAUAUAAUUGUCCAGAAGAAAACUGAUCAUUUCCGGGCAGUAAUAUGGAUUUGCUUGAUUUGAAUCAUUUUCACCCUCCACAACAGCACUGACUUCAUCACAAAUGUUUCUGAACAUUUUGGAGUAUGAGGAACCACCAACAAUUGUUGCAGAUGUACUGUCACUCACCUCCACCUUUUCUAGGACCUGACCUGUGGUAUCCUGCAGAA
Molecule: long non-coding RNA, 624 nt
Organism: Danio aesculapii
Lineage: Eukaryota; Metazoa; Chordata; Actinopteri; Cypriniformes; Danionidae
Exons: 3
Source: RefSeq, a predicted model, not a curated record